This 454-nucleotide ribosomal RNA is filed under the name uncultured bacterium. Its description in RNAcentral is "bacterial SSU rRNA". It matches the Rfam family "Bacterial small subunit ribosomal RNA", at positions 340 to 786 of the family's 1533-position model. The record is from RNAcentral.
UACGGGAGGCAGCAGUGGGGGAAUAUUGCACAAUGGGCGCAAGCCUGAUGCAGCCAUGCCGCGUGUAUGAAGAAGGCCUUCGGGUUGUAAAGUACUUUCAGUCGUGAGGAAGGUGUUAAGGUUAAUAACCUUAGCAAUUGACGUUAGCGACAGAAGAAGCACCGGCUAACUCCGUGCCAGCAGCCGCGGUAAUACGGAGGGUGCGAGCGUUAAUCGGAAUUACUGGGCGUAAAGGGCACGCAGGCGGUUAAUUAAGUUGGAUGUGAAAUCCCCGGGCUUAACCUGGGAAUGGCAUUCAAGACUGGUUAGCUAGAGUCUUGUAGAGGGGGUUAGAAUUCCAUGUGUAGCGGUGAAAUGCGUAGAGAUGUGGAGGAAUACCGGUGGCGAAGGCGGCCCCUGGACAAAGGCUGACGCUCAUGUGCGAAAGCUGGGGAGCAAACAGGGAUUAGAUACC